GCGAAUAUAAGUUAAUGGUAGACUCAAUGAUUUCCAAUCAUAAAGUAUCUGUUCGAGUCAGAUUAUUCGUA
Molecule: transfer RNA, 71 nt
Filed under: Magnusiomyces magnusii
Lineage: Eukaryota; Fungi; Ascomycota; Dipodascomycetes; Dipodascales; Dipodascaceae
Also listed under: 2 other names
Description: tRNA-Gly
Rfam family: tRNA
About the family: Transfer RNA (tRNA) molecules are approximately 80 nucleotides in length.
Source: RNAcentral